GCUGAGUAUGUGUGGUGAUAUAGAGUUUGUGUGGUGAGAGCAACAAUGGAGUUUGUGAAGAUUGUGUAGCUUUUGUACUUUACAUCACGGAGAAACCUCUCUAGAUUUUGAUUUUGUGUAGAGAUUUAGUGCAAAACAACGACAAAAGAGGCGGUGAUGACGUGACACAACUCCAUAAAUCGAAAACCAGUUCUGAUUGAUUUCAUCUUCUUCUUGAAUGAAGCUUUUUUGAUUUUUUUUUGAAUCACUGGUACAGUUCUGAUUUACUUAUUUUUGGCCAGUUAUAUAUGUUAGUUAUACAAAAAAUGAAUUUUGAUUGAAUUUUUUAUUGGCCAAGUUAUAUAUGUGAGCUUGAUCAAAUUCAAUUUGUUAUAGUCAUCGAAGCCAACAAAAUUCGAAAGUGAAAACAUAAUAAGAAAGUUUGUUUCCUUUAGUUGCCAUUUCAGGCGGUGAGAGAGUUAGCACAUCGUGUUUUGGGUUGAUGUAGGAAGAACGAAGAGAAAUCUCUGGACUUGAAAAAUCAUGGAAUCUUUGCUUUCACAGCCGAUGCUUUGCGUUUAUACUCUAACGCUUUACAAGUAUCCAUCCACAAGUGACCAUUUCAUGUUGAACAUAUAGUUAGAGUUAUAUGGAUCCUUUACAUUUUUCUAUUGACUUAAUCAUAUCCAAAAUUGUUUAUGGAUGUUGUUGGACGCACCCGACCAUUUAUAGUCGUCCAUAUGGAUAAACCAAUUUGUAAAAUUACAUAUGAACACAAGUUAUAUGAAGGGAAACUCAAGUUAACACCAA
RNAcentral lists this small RNA (789 nucleotides) under Arabidopsis thaliana (thale cress). RNAcentral describes it as "unknown gene (AT1G58590)". The record is from RNAcentral. Lineage: Eukaryota; Viridiplantae; Streptophyta; Magnoliopsida; Brassicales; Brassicaceae.